UACGUAGGCAGCGAGCGUUGUUCGGAGUUACUGGGCGUAAAGGGUGUGUAGGCGGUUGUUUAAGUUUGGUGUGAAAUCUCCCGGCUCAACUGGGAGGGUGCGCCGAAUACUGAAUGACUUGGAGUGCGGGAGAGGUGAGUGGAAUUCCCGGUGUAGAGGUGAAAUUCGUAGAUAUCGGGAGGAACACCGGUGGCGAAGGCGGCGAUCUGGGUCGAUACUGACGCUGAGGUGCGAAAGCGUGGGGAGCAAACAGG
RNAcentral lists this ribosomal RNA (254 nucleotides) under uncultured bacterium. Its description in RNAcentral is "partial 16S ribosomal RNA". It matches the Rfam family "Bacterial small subunit ribosomal RNA", at positions 524 to 776 of the family's 1533-position model. The record is from RNAcentral.